CCUACGGGUGGCAGCAGUGGGGAAUAUUGCACAAUGGGGGAAACCCUGAUGCAGCAACGCAGCGUGGGUGAAGGAGGGUUUCGGCGCGUAAAGCCCGGUCAGCGGGGAAGAAGAAAGAAGGUACCAGACCAAGAAGCACCGGCUAACUAAGUGCCAGCAGCCGCGGUAAUACGUAGGGGGCGAGCGUGAUCCGGAAUUACUGGGGGUAAAGGGAGCGUAGACGGCGAGGUCAGCCGGUCGUGGAAGCCCGCGGCCCAACCGCGGAACUGCGUUGGGAACUGUUUUGCUGGCGUAUGGGAGGGGUCAGCUGCCUUCCUUGUGUAGCGGUUAAAUGCUUCGAUCUCAGGAGGAACUCCG
This 357-nucleotide ribosomal RNA is filed under the name uncultured bacterium. Its description in RNAcentral is "partial 16S ribosomal RNA". It matches the Rfam family "Bacterial small subunit ribosomal RNA", at positions 338 to 711 of the family's 1533-position model. The record is from RNAcentral.